GGGACACGUGGUAUCCUGUCUGAAUAUGGGGGGACCAUCCUCCAAGGCUAAAUACUCCUGACUGACCGAUAGUGAACCAGUACCGUGAGGGAAAGGCGAAAAGAACCCCGGCGAGGGGAGUGAAAAAGAACCUGAAACCGUGUACGUACAAGCAGUGGGAGCACAGAGCAAUCUGUGUGACUGCGUACCUUUUGUAUAAUGGGUCAGCGACUUAUAUUCUGUAGCAAGGUUAACCGAAUAGGGGAGCCGAAGGGAAACCGAGUCUUAACUGGGCGUUAAGUUGCAGGGUAUAGACCCGAAACCCGGUGAUCUAGCCAUGGGCAGGUUGAAGGUUGGGUAACACUAACUGGAGGACCGAACCGACUAAUGUUGAAAAAUUAGCGGAUGACUUGUGGCUGGGGGUGAAAGGCCAAUCAAACCGGGAGAUAGCUGGUUCUCCCCGAAAGCUAUUUAGGUAGCGCCUCGUGAAUUCAUCUCCGGGGGUAGAGCACUGUUUCGGCAAGGGGGUCAUCCCGACUUACCAACCCGAUGCAAACUGCGAAUACCGGAGAAUGUUAUCACGGGAGACACACGGCGGGUGCUAACGUCCGUCGUGAAGAGGGAAACAACCCAGACCGCCAGCUAAGGUCCCAAAGUCAUGGUUAAGUGGGAAACGAUGUGGGAAGGCCCAGACAGCCAGGAUGUUGGCUUAGAAGCAGCCAUCAUUUAAAGAAAGCGUAAUAGCUCACUGGUCGAGUCGGCCUGCGCGGAAGAUGUAACGGGGCUAAACCAUGCACCGAAGCUGCGGCAGCGACGCUGAUGCGUUGUUGGGUAGGGGAGCGUUCUGUAAGCCUGCGAAGGUGUGCUGUGAGGCAUGCUGGAGGUAUCAGAAGUGCGAAUGCUGACAUAAGUAACGAUAAAGCGGGUGAAAAGCCCGCUCGCCGGAAGACCAAGGGUUCCUGUCCAACGUUAAUCGGGGCAGGGUGAGUCGACCCCUAAGGCGAGGCCGAAAGGCGUAGUCGAUGGGAAACAGGUUAAUAUUCCUGUACUUGGUGUUACUGCGAAGGGGGGACGGAGAAGGCUAUGUUGGCCGGGCGACGGUUGUCCCGGUUUAAGCGUGUAGGCUGGUUUUCCAGGCAAAUCCGGAAAAUCAAGGCUGAGGCGUGAUGACGAGGCACUACGGUGCUGAAGCAACAAAUGCCCUGCUUCCAGGAAAAGCCUCUAAGCAUCAGGUAACAUCAAAUCGUACCCCAAACCGACACAGGUGGUCAGGUAGAGAAUACCAAGGCGCUUGAGAGAACUCGGGUGAAGGAACUAGGCAAAAUGGUGCCGUAACUUCGGGAGAAGGCACGCUGAUAUGUAGGUGAAGUCCCUCGCGGAUGGAGCUGAAAUCAGUCGAAGAUACCAGCUGGCUGCAACUGUUUAUUAAAAACACAGCACUGUGCAAACACGAAAGUGGACGUAUACGGUGUGACGCCUGCCCGGUGCCGGAAGGUUAAUUGAUGGGGUUAGCGCAAGCGAAGCUCUUGAUCGAAGCCCCGGUAAACGGCGGCCGUAACUAUAACGGUCCUAAGGUAGCGAAAUUCCUUGUCGGGUAAGUUCCGACCUGCACGAAUGGCGUAAUGAUGGCCAGGCUGUCUCCACCCGAGACUCAGUGAAAUUGAACUCGCUGUGAAGAUGCAGUGUACCCGCGGCAAGACGGAAAGACCCCGUGAACCUUUACUAUAGCUUGACACUGAACAUUGAGCCUUGAUGUGUAGGAUAGGUGGGAGGCUUUGAAGUGUGGACGCCAGUCUGCAUGGAGCCGACCUUGAAAUACCACCCUUUAAUGUUUGAUGUUCUAACGUUGACCCGUAAUCCGGGUUGCGGACAGUGUCUGGUGGGUAGUUUGACUGGGGCGGUCUCCUCCUAAAGAGUAACGGAGGAGCACGAAGGUUGGCUAAUCCUGGUCGGACAUCAGGAGGUUAGUGCAAUGGCAUAAGCCAGCUUGACUGCGAGCGUGACGGCGCGAGCAGGUGCGAAAGCAGGUCAUAGUGAUCCGGUGGUUCUGAAUGGAAGGGCCAUCGCUCAACGGAUAAAAGGUACUCCGGGGAUAACAGGCUGAUACCGCCCAAGAGUUCAUAUCGACGGCGGUGUUUGGCACCUCGAUGUCGGCUCAUCACAUCCUGGGGCUGAAGUAGGUCCCAAGGGUAUGGCUGUUCGCCAUUUAAAGUGGUACGCGAGCUGGGUUUAGAACGUCGUGAGACAGUUCGGUCCCUAUCUGCCGUGGGCGCUGGAGAACUGAGGGGGGCUGCUCCUAGUACGAGAGGACCGGAGUGGACGCAUCACUGGUGUUCGGGUUGUCAUGCCAAUGGCACUGCCCGGUAGCUAAAU
Molecule: ribosomal RNA, 2352 nt
Filed under: Escherichia coli
Lineage: Bacteria; Pseudomonadati; Pseudomonadota; Gammaproteobacteria; Enterobacterales; Enterobacteriaceae
Description: partial 23S ribosomal RNA
Rfam family: Bacterial large subunit ribosomal RNA
Source: RNAcentral